Pelobates cultripes (western spadefoot toad) is the source of this 635-nucleotide non-coding RNA. The record is from the annotation of a GenBank genome assembly. NCBI's taxonomy places the organism in Eukaryota, Metazoa, Chordata, Amphibia, Anura, Pelobatidae.
CUUAUAAACACAUUACAAGAAAAAUCAGAAAUAUAGUGAGAUCUGAUGAAGGCCCUAAUAUGUCUCUUAAAGUGGUGAUCGACACUUUAUAUAUAGUCACAUGGCUUUAAAUUGGAAAACAUUUGUGGGAAAUAUCAAUUUACAAUGUACAAGGAUUUUCACUUUUAUAUCACCUAAAUAUGAUGCAAUUCAGCAUUAUGUGUAUUUCUCUCAAAUUCUUCUUGAACAGGCUGGAAACAAUGAUAAAUCUUCGAUAGUAUAAAAUGUAACAACCAAAAACAUUAAGAUACAUGAAAUGAUAGCUUCAUAAUAGGGAAUCCAACAUAGUUUGUAGGAUAUAACAAUGUCAUUUAGAUGCAAGUACAACAGAGCUGAUACACCGGGCAGAAUUCACCAGCCAAGUCAUGGUGAUAAAAUGGCUGUGGCUUCCAACUCCGCUCCUUAAAGGACCACUAUAGUGCCAGAAAAACAUACUCAGGGUUCCCCUCCCGCCCGGCUCUGGGGAGAGGAAAGGGGUUAAAACUUACCUUUCUCCAGCGCUGGGAGGGGAGAUCUUCUCCUCCGAUCCUCCUCCUCUCCUCCCAUUCGGCUGAAAGCGCACGCGCGGCAAGAGCUGCAUUCAGCCGGUCUCAUAG